This 791-nucleotide ribosomal RNA is filed under the name uncultured archaeon. RNAcentral describes it as "bacterial SSU rRNA". It matches the Rfam family "Archaeal small subunit ribosomal RNA", at positions 85 to 879 of the family's 1478-position model. The record is from RNAcentral.
ACGGCUCAGUAACACGUGGAUAACCUGCCCAAGGGUCUGGGAUAACCCCGGGAAACUGGGGAUAAUACCGGAUGGAUCACUAGUGCUGGAAUGCUUGGUGGUCGAAAGGCAACGCCUUUGGAUGGGUCUGCGGCGGAUUAGGUUGACGCCGGUGUAACGUACCGGCGUGCCUGUAAUCCGUACGGGUUGUGGGAGCAAGAGCCCGGAGAUGGAUUCUGAGACACGAAUCCAGGCCCUACGGGGCGCAGCAGGCGCGAAAACUCUACAAUGCAGGCAACUGCGAUAGGGGGACAUCGAGUGGCAUCCACCUUGGGUGCCUGUCCAACCGUCUAAAAAACGGUUGUUAGCAAGGGCCGGGUAAGACCGGUGCCAGCCGCCGCGGUAAUACCGGCGGCUCGAGUGGUGGCCGAUAUUAUUGAGACUAAAGGGUCCGUAGCCAGCUUUGCAAGUCCCCUGGGGAAUCCAGCGGCUUAACCGUUGGGCUUUCAUGGGAUACUACAUUGCUUGGGACUGGGAGAGGUAGGAGGUACUCGGGGGGUAGGGGUGAAAUCCUGUAAUCCUCCGGGGACCACCGGUGGCGAAGGCGUCCUACCAGAACAGGUCCGACGGUGAGGGACGAAAGCUAGGGGCACGAACCGGAUUAGAUACCCGGGUAGUCCUAGCCGUAAACGAUGCCCGCUAGGUGUCACGACGGUCGUGAAUCGUCGUGGUGCCGUAGGGAAGCCGCGAAGCGGGCCACUUGGGAAGUACGGCCGCAAGGCUGAAACUUAAAGGAAUUGGCGGGGGAGCAC